AAGAUGAUAAUAUCUUUAUUGCUUAAUUCUCAAAGAGUCUUACAACCUAUAUUUAUAACCUAAAUAAUUUGCAUAAGAAUUAAUCCUAAGAUAACUUGUGGGCCAAGCCCCUAACUAAUGCCCGGUGGGCCUCCUCCGGUUAUAAGCUAAACCGGUCAUAACGGUAGUAUAAAAACAAUCUCAUAAUAUGUAUACAUGUGUUAGUGUUUGAAAAGAAUACAUACUCAAUUUUUUGUAUACAAAUUGUAAUGGUGGGCCAAAUCACACCGAACUCCAAUCUGGAGUGAAAAGAAUACUCCAAAAUAGUCACCUAGUAGGUGAGCUUGUUGCUGUACUAAACCUUCGAACCACCAACUUAAGGCCUCCUGUACUACCUGAUCAUUCCUGAUCUACUUCACUGUACCCUUUUGACCAUUUGGGGGAACUCUGUGGAAACCUGAUUUUAUAUCCUUUUGCCAGACCCUUGUAUUAUCAGUCUGCAUAGAGCAGCAAAAUUAUGAUCAUCAGAAAGCAUUUUAGGGACAAAACAAAAAAUUAAUAUAAUACAUAGAUACAAUGCACUAGCAAAUUCAAAAUUACACAGGAAGCGAAUGAUCAACAAAGUGUAGCAUCUAUCCGGGGCAAUCAAAUGCAUAACAGAACUUGGGACACAGGAAAAUUGCAGAGAGGGUGAGCACAUGGACACCUUUUUAUCCUACUCACUUGCACAUUGCCAGCUAAACCAUAUGAUGAUUCGGCUCAUUGAAAAGUACACUUUAAGCUGGAGACAGAUCCCAAAGCAACUGAAAACAACCGAAGGUUUUUCUGAUAAUUGGCUCAUGAGUCCUGAGAGGGCGAAUAGCAAAAAUGCGAUACUGCAUUUCAGUUGUGCAGCGAAACAAGAUUGCUCUAAGAGCAAGUGCAUUCCAUCCCCUGAUAGGCUGAUGUAGUUAACUACCAGAGAGGUAGGUACUUAUUCUGCAGCUAUAAAGCAAGAUGCACACAGGUGCUAUCUCACAUAUCCUGAUUGAGAGUAUCAAACAGUUUCAGUGGCCAUAAGGCAUAGGAACCAAGAUUGGCGCCUGGAUGCCGGAAACAGGGCAAUAACUUGCCUGCUGCAAGGAGGAUUGGCACUGGCCUGAGGAUAUUAGGGCAGCAUGUGCUAACUACUCCCUCCGUUCGGAAUUACUUGUCUCGGAUAUGGAUGUAUCUAGAAUUAAAAUACGUAUAGAUACAUCCAUUUCUGCGACAAGUAAUUCCGAACAGAGGGAGUAGUAUUUAUGCUAAUUCAUGCGAUGGGGGUGACGGUGGCUCAAUCCCCCCACCCUAAUGUGCUGCCAACUACUUGGGACAUUUUCUUUAUUCGCAAAAUAGCUUUGCAGCAUUAUGCUAAACACAAAAUUCAUCAGGUCCUAACAAAGGCCUCACGUACAAGCAAAUGGGGGCAUAGACAUUUGACUCAUUUAUGAAUGCAUUCGUCCAACAGAUAGGCCAAGAGCAUUGUGAUCGGAUUCAGAAAGGCGCAGGUACUAAUAUUCUGCAUCGGAACCGUAUGGUCUUAUCGACGAUUUCUCCAGGGACGCGUGACGAAGUUGGCGACAGGAUCGGGAUCGAGGAGAGGGGAAGGGCUGGCACUCGGCAGGAACCUUACCGAGGUGAGCCGGGGAGGUGGAGGCGGCGGAGAGCCAGAGCACGAGGGCGCAGAGCAGCAGCAACAGCGGGAUGCAGUGCACGGCGCGCCCCAGCGCCCGGGUCCGCGCCGCCUCCCGCCGGCCCGCCGCCGACUGCGGGUCGAACGUCGGGAGCGCCGUGCCGUCGCCGCGGUGGCCCGACGAGGACGCGUCGCCGCCCUCCGACACGCGCGCCCCGCUCGACGACCGCCGCAUCUCUCCCUCGGCCGCGCAACGAGGAUGAGGACGGGGUGGCUGCGGGUGGCCGCCGCGCGGGGGGUGGCUCGGAGGCGGAGGCGCGCCGCUGUGACGGGGUGUUGUGGUGCCGUGUCGGCGUUGGGCGGGCGGAUUCGCACUUCUGCGGUGUGGUUGGUGGUGGUUGGAAUCGGAUUUUGACCAGGUUGGUACGCUUCCCU
This 2065-nucleotide long non-coding RNA is filed under the name Triticum aestivum (bread wheat). RNAcentral's name for it is "long non-coding RNA (TAES_LNC015032)". The stretch from base 1143 to 1257 matches the Rfam family "MIR1120/MIR1122 microRNA precursor family". Lineage: Eukaryota; Viridiplantae; Streptophyta; Magnoliopsida; Poales; Poaceae. The record is from RNAcentral.